This 84-nucleotide transfer RNA is filed under the name Bacteroidales bacterium. RNAcentral describes it as "tRNA-Leu". It matches the Rfam family "tRNA". From Rfam's summary of the family: Transfer RNA (tRNA) molecules are approximately 80 nucleotides in length. Their secondary structure includes four short double-helical elements and three loops (D, anti-codon, and T loops). Further hydrogen bonds mediate the characteristic L-shaped molecular structure. tRNAs have two regions of fundamental functional importance: the anti-codon, which is responsible for specific mRNA codon recognition, and the 3' end, to which the tRNAs corresponding amino acid is attached (by aminoacyl-tRNA synthetases). tRNAs cope with the degeneracy of the genetic code in two manners: having more than one tRNA (with a specific anti-codon) for a particular amino acid; and 'wobble' base-pairing, i.e. permitting non-standard base-pairing at the 3rd anti-codon position. Lineage: Bacteria; Pseudomonadati; Bacteroidota; Bacteroidia; Bacteroidales. The record is from RNAcentral.
GCCCGGGUGGCGGAAUUGGUAGACGCGCUGGUCUCAAACACCAGUGAACUUUUGUUCAUGUCGGUUCGAGCCCGACCCCGGGUA